This 288-nucleotide ribosomal RNA is filed under the name uncultured bacterium. Its description in RNAcentral is "partial 16S ribosomal RNA". It matches the Rfam family "Bacterial small subunit ribosomal RNA", at positions 335 to 612 of the family's 1533-position model. The record is from RNAcentral.
ACUCCUACGGGAGGCAGCAGUGGGAAUAUUGGACAAUGGGGAACCCGUAGCAUCCAGCCAAUGCCGCAGUGUGUGAAGAAGGCCCUGAGGGGUUGUAAAGCACUUUUAGUCGUGAGGAAAUGCUGAUGGUUAAUACCUAUUAGUUUUGACGUUAGCGACAGAAAAAGCACCGGCUAACUCUGUGCCAGCAGCCGCGGUAAUACAGAGGGUGCAAGCGUUAAUCGGAUUGACUGGGCGUAAAGGGCGCGUAGGUGGUUAUUUAAGUUAGAUGUGAAAUCCCUGGCUUAG